Molecule: non-coding RNA, 400 nt
Organism: Limanda limanda (common dab)
Lineage: Eukaryota; Metazoa; Chordata; Actinopteri; Pleuronectiformes; Pleuronectidae
Source: the annotation of a RefSeq genome assembly
CUCAGACCUCCUGCUCAUCAGAACCAUGAGCUUCACCUCCGUCCUCGUCUGGACGCUGCUCUGCUGCUGCUUCUCAGAGUCCAGGGGACAAGUCACAGUGACCCAGCCUGGAGCCGUGAGAUCCGCUGUGGGAGGCUCCGUCACCAUCUCCUGUAGAACCAGUGAGACGGUUUAUAAUUCAAACAGUCUGGUCUGGUACCAGCAGAGAGAUGGAGGAGCUCCCAGACUGAUGAUUUACGAGGCUUCCACUCGAGCUUCAGGGAUUCCAGGUCGUUUCUCAGGCAGUGGCCGUGGCUCUGACUUCACUCUGAGCAUCAGUGGAGUCCAGGCUGAAGACGCUGCCGUCUACCACUGCAUCGGGGAGUUUGCUGCCAGCAAGUGGGAUCUGCUCACACAGUGA